This is an RNA transcript of Populus trichocarpa (black cottonwood), 3726 nucleotides long. It is a transcript of the gene named exocyst complex component SEC15A, with no coding region annotated. The transcript has 4 exons. Lineage: Eukaryota; Viridiplantae; Streptophyta; Magnoliopsida; Malpighiales; Salicaceae. The record is from RefSeq and is a predicted model, not a curated record.
UAUCAAUUUCGUUAUUGAACAAGGUACAAACGGCAACAGAAAGAAAACAAAACAUGAAUUUUCACAUGAGUUGAAACUAACAAUAGCAGGACCUUCAUUGAUCACAGAUUUCAUUGAAAACAGCUGUUUCAGCUCAACGAGUGAAGAAUCUAAGGAAAACACAUUUCAUUUCUUGUUUUACAUAGCAGAAAGAGAGCAAAUUUGGCGCAAAAGGAAGGCCUCUCAAUAGCUCUUUUGUUUGGUAAAAGCAAUGGAUGCGAAGCCUAAGAGGAGAACUGCUGUAGAGAAUGGGGAUGGAGGAGAGGACUUGGUGCUUGCAACUUUGAUUGGCAAUGGAGAGGAUUUGGGUCCAAUUGUCAGGCAUGCAUUUGAAAUGGGGCGGCCUGAAUCGCUGUUUCAUCAGCUCAAGUCUGUUGUGAGGAAGAAGGAAGUUGAAAUCGAGGAGCUGUGCAAGAGCCAUUACGAGGAAUUCAUUCUUGCGGUUGAUGAACUUCGUGGUGUAUUGGUUGAUGCUGAAGAGUUAAAAAGUGAGCUUGCGAGUGAGAAUUUUCGAUUGCAAGAAGUUGGGAGUGCUCUUUUGGUCAAACUUGAGGAGCUUCUUGAAUCUUAUUGGAUUAAGAAGAAUGUGACUGAAGCUAUCAAAACAUCGAAGAUAUGCAUACAAGUUUUGGAACUCUGUGUGAAGUCUAACAACCACAUGUUGGAAAGCCAAUUUUACCCAGCGUUGAAAACAGUGGAUCUGAUCGAGAGGACUUACUUGCAGAACAUCCCUGUGAAGGCACUUAAAACGGCCAUAGGGAAGACAAUUCCAGUAAUAAAAUCGCAUAUUGAGAAGAAAGUUACCAGUCAAUUUAAUGAAUGGCUAGUUCAAGUGAGGAGUUCUGCUAAGGAUAUUGGACAGACAGCAAUAGGCCAUACUUUGUCAGCUCGUCAAAGAGAUGAGGAAAUGCUGGAACAUCAGAGAAAAGCCGAAGAACAAAACAUUUCAGGGUUAGGAGAUUUUGUAUAUACUCUGGAUGUUGAGGAAAAUGAUGAAGAUUCAGUUGUGAAGUUUGAUCUCACUCCUCUUUUCCGGGUGUAUCAUAUUCAUGAUUGCCUUGGAAUCCAAGAGCAGUUUCGUGAAUACUACUAUAAGAAUCGGUUAUUGCAACUCAAUUCAGACUUGCAAAUCUCUACUACUCAGCCAUUUGUUGAAUCUUAUCAAACAUAUUUGGCCCAAAUUGCUGGUUACUUCAUAGUGGAGGAUCGGGUCUUAAGAACUGCUGGGGAUCUUUUGUCAGCAAAUCAUGUUGAGACAAUGUGGGAAGUGGCUGUGGCUAAAAUGACAUCUGUUCUGGAGGAACAGUUUUCCCAUAUGGAUUCUGCAACUCAUCUUCUGCUGGUGAAGGAUUAUGUCACUCUUCUUGGGGAAACUUUUAGACAAUAUGGGUACGAAGUUGGCCAAAUUCUCGAGGUAGUCGAUCGUAGCCGAGAUAAGUAUCAUGAGCUUCUUUUGGGAGAAUGUCAUGAGCAAAUUGUCAAUACUCUUGGAAGUGACACCUAUGAGCAGAUGGUAAUGAGAAAGGAUGCUGAUUAUGAGAAUAAUGUCCUCUCCUUUCAUCUUCAAACCUCAGAUAUAAUGCCGGCUUUCCCAUAUUAUGCACCAUUCUCCUCCAUGGUACCUGAUACUUGCCGCAUUGUUAGAUCUUUCAUCAAAGGUUCUGUUGAUUACUUAUCUUAUGGGGUGCAUACUAAUUUUUAUGACAUUGUGAGAAAAUACUUGGACAAGCUCUUGAUUGAUGUGCUAAAUGAAGUGAUGCUUAGCACGAUCCAUGGGGGUGCAGUUGGUGUGUCUCAAGCCAUGCAGAUUGCUGCAAACAUAUCUGUUCUUGAGAGAGCUUGUGAUUUUUUUCUUCGAUAUGCAGCCCAACUAUGCGGAAUCCCGAUCCGAUCAGUUGAGAGGCCUCAAGCUAGUUUGACAGCCAAGGUGGUCCUGAAAACUUCAAGGGAUGCAGCUUAUCUUGCUCUGCUGAAUUUGGUGAACACCAAGUUAGAUGAAUUCAUGAAUAUUACAGAAAAUAUCAAUUGGACUUCAGAGGAAACGCCACAAAAUGGGAAUGACUAUAUAAAUGAGGCGGUUAUUUACCUGGAUACUAUUUUGUCAACUGCACAACAAAUUCUUCCAUUGGAUGCUCUACACAAAGUUGGGAGUGGUGCCCUCGAGCACAUUUCCAAUUCCAUUGUCGGAGCAUUUCUUAGUGAUAGCGUAAGGAGGUUCAAUGCUAAUGCAGUCCUAUCUCUCAACAAUGAUUUGAAGAUUAUAGAGGAUUUUGCUGAUGAGAGGUUUCAUAGCACCGGCCUGAGUGAAAUAUACAAGGAAGGUAGUUUUAGAGGCUGCUUGUUAGAAGCACGACAGUUGAUUAACCUUUUGUCAAGCAGCCAGCCAGAGAACUUCAUGAAUCCUGUGAUAAGGCAGAAAAACUAUGAUGCUCUGGAUUAUAAAAACGUGGCCAGCAUCUGUGAUAAAUUCAAGGAUUCCCAUGAUGGAAUCUUUGGUAGCCUCUCAACCAGAAAUACUAAGCAAAGUGCACGGAAGAAAUCAAUGGACAUGCUGAAGAAAAGAUUGAAGGACUUCAAUUGAGAAGGCUAUAGAUUCCGCGUGCAUCAGAAUUUGUUUGCAGGAGGAAAGAAUGGCUACUGAUGCUUUAUUUAUGGCACUACUGGCUCUUCAUCAUUCAUCGGAGAUCUCUAAAUAAAGUACUUCCAGAUUCUAUAUAUGGUAGAAAGCAUAAAAGCAAUACACAAGUGGUUUGCAUGCUAAUUGCUAAAGGAAGUUUGCGAACAAUCUUCUGCCGAACAUGAGUUGAGUUGGUGCCACACCUUCUUAUACUUAAAGUGGAUCUUCUCAGGGCCAUUAUAAUGUUUGAAAGAGUAACUGAAGGUACUGCUCACCGCUUUCUCUCUGCUUGUUAUGGAAGACUUAUUCAUUUUGUUCUAGUGCAGACAGUGUUUGAUACAUAGUUUAUCAGAUUCUUCGAAUCUCGCACAUUUUGCUAUCCAGAUCAUACGUUCUUGAUCAUAAUAGGCACCACAUUUUAUUAUUUUGCAUAAUGAUCAGUUGAAGACUAUGAAAACUAGGAAAAACUGCCUGAAACAAGCUCACAGCAUACAUAGAUUCCUGAUUCUAUCUUGGACUGCAACUUAUAACUUGCGAUACAGAUCAGUUAUUCCCAACAUUAACGUUUUUAAUUUGUUUAAUUUCUUGCAACAAUACAAACAAGACAAUUCUAACAUCCCGAAAAACCAGACAGCAAUAUAUGAAGUUCAAGUCCAGGGAGUCAAACCCCCUUCUCUUUACAUUUUUUUUAUUCGUGAAUAAAUAAAUAUUUUUACCACAAUGGUAAUGAUAAAUCUAUAAUAAUCUAUUUUUCAAAAUAAUAAAUUUAUUUGAAGGUGUCUCCAAAGGGACAAUCCCACUGUUUGGAACGCGAGCAUUUUCUUUUUCAGGUUCCAGGUUUGAAUCUCAAGAGAAAUGGAGCAGAGAUUCAGGGAAGGAGGAAGGCAAGCAGUGCCCCAAUUGGAUAGCUCAAAAUGCCUUCGGAUGAAAAACAACUUACUUGAAGGAGCGUGGAUUCAUUUGAAAUUAAAAAAAAAAAAAUCCAAUUUUUACCUUCACCUACUGUAGCAGCAUGUGACAUUGUAGCGGCGGUUGUUUUUUAAAGCUCAGAAAUACAUGAGAAUUAUAUA